UUCCUACGGGGGGCAGCAGUCGGGAAUAUUGCGCAAUGGAGGAAACUCUGACGCAGUGACGCCGCGUAUAGGAAGAAGGUUUUCGGAUUGUAAACUAUUGUCGAUAGGGAAGAAAAAAGACUGUACCUAUCAAGAAAGCUCCAGCUAACUACGUGCCAGCAGCCGCGGUAAUACGUAGGGAGCAAGCGUUAUCCGGAUUUACUGGGUGUAAAGGGAGCGUAGACGGCAAUACAAGUCGGAAGUGAAAUACCCGGGCUCAACCUGGGAACUGCUUUGGAAACUGUAUGGCUGGAGUGCUGGAGAGG
Molecule: ribosomal RNA, 305 nt
Filed under: uncultured bacterium
Lineage: Bacteria
Description: bacterial SSU rRNA
Rfam family: Bacterial small subunit ribosomal RNA
Source: RNAcentral